AUUGAACGCUGGCGGCAGGCCUAACACAUGCAAGUCGAGCGGAUGAAGGGAGCUUGCUCCUGGAUUCAGCGGCGGACGGGUGAGUAAUGCCUAGGAAUCUGCCUGGUAGUGGGGGAUAACGUCCGGAAACGGGCGCUAAUACCGCAUACGUCCUGAGGGAGAAAGUGGGGGAUCUUCGGACCUCGCGCUAUCAGAUGAGCCUAGGUCGGAUUAGCUAGUUGGUGGGGUAAAGGCCUACCAAGGCGACGAUCCGUAACUGGUCUGAGAGGAUGAUCAGUCACACUGGAACUGAGACACGGUCCAGACUCCUACGGGAGUCAGCAGUGGGGAAUAUUGGACAAUGGGCGAAAGCCUGAUCCAGCCAUGCCGCGUGUGUGAAGAAGGUCUUCGGAUUGUAAAGCACUUUAAGUUGGGAGGAGGGGCAGUAAGUUAAUACCUUGCUGUUUUGACGUUACCAACAGAAUAAGCACCGGCUAACUUCGUG
This 484-nucleotide ribosomal RNA is filed under the name uncultured bacterium. Its description in RNAcentral is "partial 16S ribosomal RNA". It matches the Rfam family "Bacterial small subunit ribosomal RNA", at positions 30 to 507 of the family's 1533-position model. The record is from RNAcentral.